RNAcentral lists this ribosomal RNA (495 nucleotides) under uncultured bacterium. RNAcentral's name for it is "partial 16S ribosomal RNA". It matches the Rfam family "Bacterial small subunit ribosomal RNA", at positions 29 to 523 of the family's 1533-position model. The record is from RNAcentral.
AUUGAACGCUGGCGGCAUGCCUUACACAUGCAAGUCGAACGACGCUAGGGGCAACUCUAGCGAGUGGCGAACGGGUGAGUAAUACAUCGGAACGUGUCCUGUCGGGGGGGAUAACCAGUCGAAAGAUUGGCUAAUACCGCAUGACCUCGUAAGAGAAAAGCGGGGGACCGCAAGGCCUCGCCCGAUUGGAGCGGCCGAUGUCGGAUUAGCUAGUUGGCGGGGUAAAAGCCCACCAAGGCGACGAUCCGUAGCUGGUGUGAGAGAACGACCAGCCACACUGGGACUGAGACACGGCCCAGACUCCUACGGGAGGCAGCAGUGGGGAAUUUUGGACAAUGGGCGCAAGCCUGAUCCAGCCAUGCCGCGUGUGUGAAGAAGGCCUUCGGGUUGUAAAGCACUUUCGGGCGGAACGAAAUCGCGCGGGUUAACAGCCCGCGUGGAUGACGGUACCGCAAGAAGAAGCACCGGCUAACUACGUGCCAGCCGCCGCCGUAA